This 284-nucleotide unclassified non-coding RNA is filed under the name plant metagenome. RNAcentral describes it as "partial contains small subunit ribosomal RNA, internal transcribed spacer 1, and 5.8S ribosomal RNA". The stretch from base 1 to 53 matches the Rfam family "Eukaryotic small subunit ribosomal RNA", at positions 1779 to 1831 of the family's 1831-position model. The record is from RNAcentral.
GGAAUAAAAGUCGUAACAAGGUUUCCGUAGGUGAACCUGCGGAAGGAUCAUUAUUGUAUAACCGAGGUGCGAGGGCUGUCGCUGACCCGAAAGGUCGUGCACGCCCGAGUGCCCUCACACACAUCCAUCUCACCCCUAUAUGCACCACCGCGUGGGUCCCCCUUUGGCUUGUUCGGAGGGGGGCUUACGUUUUCACACAAACUUUGUAUGCAGUGUAGAAUGUAUUUUUUGUUUUUGCGAUCACGCAAUCAAUACAACUUUCAACAACGGAUCUCUUGGCUCUC